RNAcentral lists this ribosomal RNA (440 nucleotides) under uncultured bacterium. Its description in RNAcentral is "partial 16S ribosomal RNA". It matches the Rfam family "Bacterial small subunit ribosomal RNA", at positions 338 to 795 of the family's 1533-position model. The record is from RNAcentral.
CCUACGGGAUGCAGCAGUAGGGAAUAUUGCUCAAUGGGGGAAACCCUGAAGCAGCAACGCCGCGUGGAGGAUGAAGGUUUUCGGAUUGUAAACUUCUUUUGUUAGAGAAGAUAAUUACGGUAUCUAACGAAUAAUCACCGGCUAACACCGUGCCAGCAGCCGCGGUAAUACGGCGGGUGCAAGCGUUACUCGGAAUCACUGGGCGUAAAGCGCGCGUAGGCGGGAUAGCAAGUCAGAGGUGAAAUCCUAUGGCUUAACCAUAGAACUGCAGUUGAAACUGUUAUUCUAGAGUAUGGGAGAGGUAGGUGGAAUUCUUGGUGUAGGGGUAAAAUCCGUAGAGAUCACGAGGAAUACUCAUUGCGAAGGCGACCUGCUAGAACAUAACUGACGCUGAUGCGCGAAAGCGUGGGGAGCAAACAGGAUUAGAUACCCCGGUAGUC